RNAcentral lists this ribosomal RNA (510 nucleotides) under uncultured bacterium. RNAcentral's name for it is "partial 16S ribosomal RNA". It matches the Rfam family "Bacterial small subunit ribosomal RNA", at positions 28 to 507 of the family's 1533-position model. The record is from RNAcentral.
GACGAACGCUGGCGGCGUGCUUAACACAUGCAAGUCGAACGAAGAGCGAUGGAAGCUUGCUUCUAUCAAUCUUAGUGGCGAACGGGUGAGUAACGCGUAAUCAACCUGCCCUUCAGAGGGGGACAACAGUUGGAAACGACUGCUAAUACCGCAUACGAUCUAAUCUCGGCAUCGAGGAUAGAUGAAAGGUGGCCUCUACAUGUAAGCUAUCACUGAAGGAGGGGAUUGCGUCUGAUUAGCUAGUUGGAGGGGUAACGGCCCACCAAGGCGAUGAUCAGUAGCCGGUCUGAGAGGAUGAACGGCCACAUUGGGACUGAGACACGGCCCAGACUCCUACGGGAGGCAGCAGUGGGGAAUCUUCCGCAAUGGACAAAAGUCUGACGGAGCAACGCCGCGUGAGUGAUGACGGCCUUCGGGUUGUAAAGCUCUGUUAAUCGGGACGAAAGGCCUUCUUGCGAACAGUUAGAAGGAUUGACGGUACCGGAAGAGAAAGCCACGGCUAACUACGUG